This 253-nucleotide ribosomal RNA is filed under the name uncultured bacterium. RNAcentral describes it as "partial 16S ribosomal RNA". It matches the Rfam family "Bacterial small subunit ribosomal RNA", at positions 524 to 776 of the family's 1533-position model. The record is from RNAcentral.
UACAGAGGUCGCAAGCGUUGUCCGGAAUUAUUGGGCGUAAAGGGCGCGUAGGCGGCCUUCUAAGUCGAACGUGAAAUCCCUGGGCUCAACCCAGGAACUGCGUCCGAUACUGGAAGGCUUGAAUCCGGGAGAGGGAUGCGGAAUUCCAGGUGUAGCGGUGAAAUGCGUAGAUAUCUGGAGGAACACCGGUGGCGAAGGCGGCAUCCUGGACCGGUAUUGACGCUGAGGCGCGAAAGCCAGGGGAGCAAACGGG